ACCUCUAGAUCCGUUCUCACCAGGAAACCCUGGUUCCCCCUGUUGUCCUUUCUCUAGACGGAUGUUAACGCAGCCACUGUCUCCUGGAAGCCCUCUUUCGCCUAUGAAACAAAUGUAGGGAAAGUGGUCCUUUAUUGCCUGGAAGUCCUGGAAAUCCUCGGGAGCCUGGAGGACCUGGGGGACCUUGUGAGCCACGAGAGCCUUUGAGACCUUUGAUUCCAGGUGACCCAGCUAAGCCUCUGUCACCCCUCUGGCCUUUGAAGCCUGGCUUCCCCCACAAUCCACCGAGGCUACACGAGAAGGGAAUCUCCACGGUGACUCUGGAUGAGGCUUUCCUCCCAGCAGUGAACGUGGCAGUAGAGCUGCAAUUAUUUGCCUUAAAAUUCUACACCAGAAUUUGGAAAUGUCUAUGAUGACAGAUAAGCAGUUUCACAGUCUGACAGAUAAUGUGGAUGAAAGGUCACAGUGGAUUCAGCAUAGCUGGGGCACAGAAGUAGAUGGAAUACAUACCAGCAGACUUUAAUAGACUGUCUGCUUAAUACAACUGAACUUGGCUUGCUGCCUGCUGGAUGACCCUCUUGAACUAUCACUGCAUGGAAAGCAGCUGCACAUCAGCUCCUCCUCUCCUUUUAUGAUCUACUAAUAUACCCAUCCAUCCAGUAUUCAAACUUUUCAGCCCCAGUUCAUUAUAUGUCAAUAGCCCAACUGGAAGCAACACUGACCUUCUGCUAUCAGGCAGCAUUCAAUAGCUGAGCUCCAGGAGGUCCAACUAACAGUGGUGACCCUGGUGGCCCAGGAAGUCCGAUGUCGCCCUGUGGAAGCCAACGGAAUAGCAGAGAAACAUUAUGUUCAAUGCAGUAUUUCAGUGAGACUCAGCAUGUUUUCCCGUUAUACCACAGCACUACAUAUUCCCGUACUAAUUGAACAGGAGAGCUGAACUCUGGCUUCCUGCUUUCCUUUCCUUGGGGAAAGGGACUAAGAAAGCACUAGCAAUAUUUCUCCAUGGCCACAAACUGCCAGGAUAAAGUGUUCCCGCAGGCAUGGGAAGGAACAAUGGAUACACCAAUUCCUGAACUUCCAACCUCAUAAGACCAGGUGGUCCUGUAAAUCCCAAGGACCCAAUCGGACCUUGAGGUCCCAGCUCACCAGGCUGACCCUGAAAGAGUCCAAAGAAUUGAAUGACUACUGCUGGAAACCUCGCAGCAGGCAGCAAUUUGAAGAUGACUGUAUGGAUGAAACAAGGCUCGCAAUGUAUAUACACUCAUGAUUCAAAACAGCUUGCGGUACAGCUCGCGGAUCUGUUCCAGGCACUGGAUACUACAGGAACACAACCUUCAAAUUUAACAACUUCCUCGAGGUGAUAAUUCCUUUUCACCUUCAUCAGGUCUCCAGCACUAAGUCUCUGAGACAUCUGGGAUGAACCACAAGGCUCCAUGGUGGAACCAGUAAUUCAUCAACCAAUUGUACCACGUUACUAAAAAAGCGAGCAAAAAGGAGCCUCGUGAAUUCCUAAGGAAAGCAGAUGGCUUUGAGGCCACUUGAGGGCAGUAAAGGAUAUUUCAGCACAACCUCCAUUCACCGAAAUGAUAGACCAUACAUUUAUUUCUAUGAAUGGAUUGAAGGAAAACAAAAUGACAGAAAUUCAAGGAACUGUAAGGAGGUGCAGUAGCUGGAUAUUGUAUAUGAAGACCAGCCUCAAAGAGACCUUACACUGAGGAGAAUGGAGUGAUCCUGUUCCUUUUCCACAUUCUGGAAAGAAGUGACUAGUUUGUUUCAUCAAUUUGCAGUGCAUUUGAGGAAAAUAAACCAUGACAAAAUGCAAAUUAAGUAGAUCUACUGUAUGCUCUUGCCAGGAUUCAGGAAGAUGGAAGCCCUAAGAGCAGGACUGACCAGAUGCCUCUGCAGUCCCAGACAGUCAAAUUUUGGAUGCAUAAAUUAACUACGCAGUGCAUCUGUGACCUCUGACUUAGG
Cuculus canorus (common cuckoo) is the source of this 1971-nucleotide long non-coding RNA. RefSeq lists it as uncharacterized. The record is from RefSeq and is a predicted model, not a curated record. NCBI's taxonomy places the organism in Eukaryota, Metazoa, Chordata, Aves, Cuculiformes, Cuculidae. The transcript has 13 exons.